AUAUAGACGAGAAUGAUGCUGUGCUCUUUUCUUCUUUAAAUAAAUUUACGAAAGGUUAGUUAAUAUAAUUUUGUACAAUAUUGCUUAAAGUUGAUCAGUUUUACAAAAAUUAUAAAUUUUUUUUAUUUAAACAGGACGACAAGGUUUACAAUUGCAAAAACUCUUGCAGAAUAAAGACUAUUUUAAGAAAUUUGUUAUAUCGGAACUUCUUGAAAAUGCAUCACAUC
Molecule: long non-coding RNA, 227 nt
Organism: Pseudomyrmex gracilis
Lineage: Eukaryota; Metazoa; Arthropoda; Insecta; Hymenoptera; Formicidae
Exons: 2
Source: RefSeq, a predicted model, not a curated record